CCUGAUGCAGCAACGCCGCGUGAGGGAUGACGGCCUUUCGGGUUGUAAACCUCUUUUAGUAGGGAAGAAGCGAAAGUGACGGUACCUGCAGAAAAAGCACCGGCUAACUACGUGCCAGCAGCCGCGGUAAUACGUAGGGUGCAAGCGUUGUCCGGAAUUAUUGGGCGUAAAGAGCUCGUAGGCGGUUUGUCGCGUCUGCUGUGAAAUCCCGAGGCUCAACCUCGGGCUUGCAGUGGGUACGGGCAGACUAGAGUGCGGUAGGGGAGAUUGGAAUUCCUGGUGUAGCGGUGGAAUGCGCAGAUAUCAGGAGGAACACCGAUGGCGAAGGCAGAUCUCUGGGCCGUAACUGACGCUGAGGAGCGAAAGCAUGGGGAGCGAACAGGAUUAGAUACCCUGGUAGUCCAUGCCGUAAACGUUGGGCGCUAGAUGUAGGGACCUUUCCACGGUUUCUGUGUCGUAGCUAACGCAUUAAGCGCCCCGCCUGGGGAGUACGGCCGCAAGGCUAAAACUCAAAGGAAUUGACGGGGGCCCGCACAAGCGGCGGAGCAUGCGGAUUAAUUCGAUGCAACGCGAAGAACCUUACCAAGGCUUGACAUACACCGGAAAACGGCCAGAGAUGGUCGCCCCCUUGUG
RNAcentral lists this ribosomal RNA (633 nucleotides) under Curtobacterium sp. Ri3Pt_4380. Its description in RNAcentral is "bacterial SSU rRNA". It matches the Rfam family "Bacterial small subunit ribosomal RNA", at positions 382 to 1022 of the family's 1533-position model. Lineage: Bacteria; Bacillati; Actinomycetota; Actinomycetes; Micrococcales; Microbacteriaceae. The record is from RNAcentral.